UACGUAGGUGGCGAGCGUUGUCCGGAUUUACUGGGCGUAAAGGGAGCGUAGGCGGACUUUUAAGUGAGAUGUGAAAUACUCGGGCUCAACUUGAGUGCUGCAUUUCAAACUGGAAGUCUAGAGUGCAGGAGGGGAGAAUGGAAUUCCUAGUGUAGCGGUGAAAUGCGUAGAGAUUAGGAAGGACACCAGUGGCGAAGGCGAUUCUCUGGACUGUAACUGACGCUGAGGCUCGAAAGCGUGGGGAGCAAACAGG
Molecule: ribosomal RNA, 253 nt
Filed under: uncultured bacterium
Lineage: Bacteria
Description: partial 16S ribosomal RNA
Rfam family: Bacterial small subunit ribosomal RNA
Source: RNAcentral